ACGUAGGGGGCGAGCGUUAUUCGGAAUUACUGGGUGUAAAGGGUAUGUAGGCGGCCCUUCAAGUCGCGUGUCAAGUUCCGGGGCUCACCGCGGGGGGGGCGCGCGAUACUGACGGGCUUGAGGGCUGGAGAGGUGAGCGGAAUUCCCGGUGUAGUGGUAAAAUACGUAGAGAUCGGGAGGAACACCAGCGGCGCAGGCGGCUCACUAGACAGUUUCUGACGCUAAGAUACGAAAGCGUGGGGAGCAAACAG
This 251-nucleotide ribosomal RNA is filed under the name uncultured prokaryote. RNAcentral describes it as "partial 16S rRNA". It matches the Rfam family "Bacterial small subunit ribosomal RNA", at positions 525 to 775 of the family's 1533-position model. The record is from RNAcentral.